RNAcentral lists this ribosomal RNA (1372 nucleotides) under uncultured bacterium. RNAcentral describes it as "bacterial SSU rRNA". It matches the Rfam family "Bacterial small subunit ribosomal RNA", at positions 28 to 1381 of the family's 1533-position model. The record is from RNAcentral.
GAUGAACGCUGGCGGCGUGCCUAAUACAUGCAAGUCGAGCGAACGGACGAGAAGCUUGCUUCUCUGAUGUUAGCGGCGGACGGGUGAGUAACACGUGGAUAACCUACCUAUAAGACUGGGAUAACUUCGGGAAACCGGAGCUAAUACCGGAUAAUAUUUUGAACCGCAUGGUUCAAAAGUGAAAGACGGUCUUGCUGUCACAUAUAGAUGGAUCCGCGCUGCAUUAGCUAGUUGGUAAGGUAACGGCUUACCAAGGCAACGAUGCAUAGCCGACCUGAGAGGGUGAUCGGCCACACUGGAACUGGGACACGGUCCAGACUCCUACGGGAGGCAGCAGUAGGGAAUCUUCCGCAAUGGGCGAAAGCCUGACGGAGCAACGCCGCGUGAGUGAUGAAGGUCUUCGGAUCGUAAAACUCUGUUAUUAGGGAAGAACAUAUGUGUAAGUAACUGUGCACAUCUUGACGGUACCUAAUCAGAAAGCCACGGCUAACUACGUGCCAGCAGCCGCGGUAAUACGUAGGUGGCAAGCGUUAUCCGGAAUUAUUGGGCGUAAAGCGCGCGUAGGCGGUUUUUUAAGUCUGAUGUGAAAGCCCACGGCUCAACCGUGGAGGGUCAUUGGAAACUGGAAAACUUGAGUGCAGAAGAGGAAAGUGGAAUUCCAUGUGUAGCGGUGAAAUGCGCAGAGAUAUGGAGGAACACCAGUGGCGAAGGCGACUUUCUGGUCUGUAACUGACGCUGAUGUGCGAAAGCGUGGGGAUCAAACAGGAUUAGAUGCCCUGGUAGUCCACGCCGUAAACGAUGAGUGCUAAGUGUUAGGGGGUUUCCGCCCCUUAGUGCUGCAGCUAACGCAUUAAGCACUCCGCCUGGGGAGUACGACCGCAAGGUUGAAACUCAAAGGAAUUGACGGGGACCCGCACAAGCGGUGGAGCAUGUGGUUUAAUUCGAAGCAACGCGAAGAACCUUACCAAAUCUUGACAUCCUUUGACAACUCUAGAGAUAGAGCUUUCCCCUUCGGGGGACAAAGUGACAGGUGGUGCAUGGUUGUCGUCAGCUCGUGUCGUGAGAUGUUGGGUUAAGUCCCGCAACGAGCGCAACCCUUAAGCUUAGUUGCCAUCAUUAAGUUGGGCACUCUAAGUUGACUGCCGGUGACAAACCGGAGGAAGGUGGGGAUGACGUCAAAUCAUCAUGCCCCUUAUGAUUUGGGCUACACACGUGCUACAAUGGACAAUACAAAGGGCAGCGAAACCGUGAGGUCAAGCAAAUCCCAUAAAGUUGUUCUCAGUUCGGAUUGUAGUCUGCAACUCGACUACAUGAAGCUGGAAUCGCUAGUAAUCGUAGAUCAGCAUGCUACGGUGAAUACGUUCCCGGGUCU